GUUUUGAUUUAGUUUUGUAACACAUAUGCUACAAAUGGAAUGAUAAAGAGAACAGCAUGUUCCGUGUACAAGGAUGACACAAACAUUUGAAAUGCUUUCUGAAUAAAU
Small nuclear RNA from Heterocephalus glaber (naked mole-rat), 108 nucleotides. NCBI's taxonomy places the organism in Eukaryota, Metazoa, Chordata, Mammalia, Rodentia, Bathyergidae. The record is from Ensembl.